Molecule: ribosomal RNA, 777 nt
Filed under: human gut metagenome
Description: bacterial SSU rRNA
Rfam family: Bacterial small subunit ribosomal RNA
Source: RNAcentral
CUGACGCUGAGGCUCGAAAGUGUGGGGAGCAAACAGGAUUAGAUACCCUGGUAGUCCACACUGUAAACGAUGAUUGCUAGGUGUGGGGGGUCUGACCCCUUCCGUGCCGGAGCUAACGCAAUAAGCAAUCCACCUGGGGAGUACGACCGCAAGGUUGAAACUCAAAGGAAUUGACGGGGACCCGCACAAGCAGUGGAUUAUGUGGUUUAAUUCGAAGCAACGCGAAGAACCUUACCAGCACUUGACAUCCAACUAACGAAAUAGAGAUAUAUUAGGUGCCCUUCGGGGAAAGUUGAGACAGGUGGUGCAUGGUUGUCGUCAGCUCGUGUCGUGAGAUGUUGGGUUAAGUCCCGCAACGAGCGCAACCCUCGCCAUUAGUUGCUACGCAAGAGCACUCUAAUGGGACCGCUACCGACAAGGUGGAGGAAGGUGGGGACGACGUCAAAUCAUCAUGCCCCUUAUGUGCUGGGCUACACACGUAAUACAAUGGCCAUCAACAGAGAGAAGCAAUACCGCGAGGUGGAGCAAAACUUCAAAAAUGGUCUCAGUUCGGACUGCAGGCUGCAACCCGCCUGCACGAAGUUGGAAUUGCUAGUAAUCGUGGAUCAGCAUGCCACGGUGAAUACGUUCCCGGGUCUUGUACACACCGCCCGUCACACCAUGGGAGCCGGUAACACCCGAAGUCAGUAGUCUAACCGCAAGGAGGACGCUGCCGAAGGUGGGAUUGGCGACUGGGGUGAAGUCGUAACAAGGUAGCCGUAUCGGAAGGUGCGGCUG